This 708-nucleotide long non-coding RNA is filed under the name Salvia miltiorrhiza (redroot sage). RNAcentral's name for it is "long non-coding RNA (SMIL_LNC013444)". Lineage: Eukaryota; Viridiplantae; Streptophyta; Magnoliopsida; Lamiales; Lamiaceae. The record is from RNAcentral.
UGAUGAGGGAUAAGGUCCUCAUCAGCGCAGCACACGACCCGUACCCCAUACGUUACCAAUAUGAAAGAUCUACUGACUUAAUGAUUAUUGCGUAGAAUAGGAAAACUAACAGUGCAGGACAAAGAGUGAAGACCCCGGCACCCCCUUCGAGAGAGUAGCGCAGCCAUCAUCACCCUUGAGGAGCAGCGCAGCCAUCAUCACCCUUGAGGAGCAGCGCAGCCAUCAUCACCCUUGAGGAGCAGCGCAGCCAUCAUCACCCUUGAGGACAGCGCAGCCAUCAUCACCCUGGAGGAGCAGCGCAGCCAUCAUCACCCUUGAGGAGCAGCGCAGCCAUCACCACCUCUGAAAGAACAGCGCAGCACCAGCGCUCCUUAGAAAAGGGUUCCCAACUACUUUCUGAAAGAGGCAAAAGCUGCAAGGCCGUUGGAACAAGGACAGUCACCAGUGACAACGACGCCAAGGACGUACCGAGCACGUGCCCCGAAGGAAAAGACGAUCUUACCCUCUCAUCUUCAUCUCUUAUAAAUAGCAUGUCUGUAAUAGUAGAAGGGACCGAUCUUUUUCUCUCAAGUUUUACCUGUAUGUUUUGGUGUUUGUAAAGAACUGUUCCAUUGAAGAGUGAAAGAAGCAUUCGUCCGUCUAUUUCCUUCAGGUUCCGAUCUAUUAUCAACCUUCUAGUUUAGGUGUUGGUGAUUCAGUGCUCCACCA